Molecule: long non-coding RNA, 2374 nt
Filed under: Zea mays
Lineage: Eukaryota; Viridiplantae; Streptophyta; Magnoliopsida; Poales; Poaceae
Description: drought responsive lncRNA
Source: RNAcentral
CACUUUCUAAAUCCCACUGGUUAUGUACAUGAGCAAGAUUUUUAUACUUAAAUAAAUAUUGCUUGCUGUUUCCUUGGAUUGUAAGAGAUGCUAAUAACGAAGCUGUCCCAAUUAGACGGCACACUGAGCUUGCACAGUCAGGUACAGUUUUGGAUUUAUGCCUUAAGUCAAACAGUUUUGGAGGGCAACACAACGCUCAAAGCUAACUUUUCAUGAUUAGUUAUGCUGAAUCACGAGCGUCCUUCGAUAGAAAAAUGGGGGGAAUCAUAGAAAUUUAUACAGAACUGACUGAAAAGCUUACUGUCUUCAAGUAUUCCAUAGCAGCAGCCCAGUCAGAUUCUACCAACAAUUCACCAAGCUCCACAAAUGCCUGCAAAAUAAUCUCAUUAAAAUAGGUUAUAUGCAAACAUGAAAUAAUCGAUCGGUAAAGUUAAUGUGUGGCCUCAUAACGGAGAGUAAGAAUGCAACUAGGAGUCUAGGACUAAACACAAACAGGAAGUAAUUUGAAUAGACAUCAUACUCAUCAUCUGAUAUUGAACAGCUUCCACACUUUGUUUUAUUCAUUUUUUGGUUAAUCACUCUGAAACUAUCGUCCAGUAACUUCAUAAUACAUGACACUGUAGUAAGUCCCAAAAAUGUAGUACUGUGACACAUAAAUUAGUCAAAAGAAAAAACAGCUAAACAACAAAUGUCCUUUUUUUUGCAAUCAUGAAGCUUGGUAUGGGUGUCUUAUCCUUUUCUAAAACAAAUAUAGCAGACGUGAGAGAAACUAUGAAGAUAAAGAAUGUUUCUCAUUAUAGAUUAAUAAUUAAGGUAACAAUAGAAAAUCUGUAUACCAAUCAAAACUACACAUUAGGGCAAAUGUAGUGUGUUCCUUUCAUGGACCAAAUACAGAUCAAAUCGACAACAAAAAACUGACUGUAAGAUGCUAGCAUUCCAAGUUUUCAAUCAACUUCAUCCUAGAUCAGCAUCUUCAUUGUUGCAAAUCAUCAGCAUUCAAAGAUCCAGAGAUGGACCAAAAUUCAGUGUUCAAAAAUAUAUAUUUUUUGCCAUGUUCAUAUGGAGUAAUUUAUGUUCAGAUUGAGCAUUUGAAAAUUUCAUCAGUACAUUCAUCCUGGAAAGCAGUUGUACUAUUUAUGUAUUGACAUGUUAGAAACAAAUUAGUGGCAGAAUUAUAUUUUGGGACCAUGUUACAGCACUUCUUUUGACCCGAAUACAUGAAGCCAUGAAAGUAAUGGUUGAGGGGAGGGGGAAGCAAGUACCUGAUGAUCUUUUGGGUCAAUACGGGUAACUUCCUUGAAGGUUUCUAUAGCUUUUUCAGUUUCCCCAGAUUUUGCAUGUAUGUGACCAAUAGCCUAGAAGAAACAUAAAAAUCAUUUCACAAAUACAACGCUAUGUUGCAAAUACAUGAACUGAGAAUAAGCGUUUGAUUAGAUAUAUGUCUUACCUUCAAACUUUCACAAUUUUCAGGGUGCACCUCCAAAACUUUCUCAAAGCUACCUAAUGAACUUUUGAAGUCUCCAAAUUUUAACUGAAUUUGACCAAGUCCUGGUUCAGAUCAAAUUGUGUUAUAAAUAUCAACUUAAUAUACAGUGGAGUGCUCCAAAUGACCAAUCAUGCUAAUCUAGGCUGCAUGCAUCAUGUGCAAACCUAAGGAAGAAGAUUGAAAAGAAAAUUAGAACUAUUAAUUUUGGAUGUCAUAUAUAGGUAGUUUAUGAUCAAGCUGGUGUGGGAGGCUCACCACGGACAAAAGGUUCGUGAUUUCCAUCACCACGCUCCCACAGGUUACAAUUAUUUUCUUGAAUUUUCCAUUCGAUUAUAUCACUUUCUAAAUCCCACUGGUUAUGUACAUGAGCAAGAUUUUUAUACUUAAAUAAAUAUUGCUUGCUGUUUCCUUGGAUUGUAAGAGAUGCUAAUAACGAAGCUGUCCCAAUUAGACGGCACACUGAGCUUGCACAGUCAGGUACAUGAUCCCUUGUCACUGUACCAGUUUCUGUGCUUCUCUCUCAUGAAAACAACUGUUGGGAUUAUUUGUUUCUGAAGAUCAGUGCAUUUAUUAGUUCUCUCAUGAAACACAACACUAUGAUUUAAAUGCUCACAUUUUGAUUACUGUGUAAACAAUGGGACAUACAAGAUUUUUUUAGGUUUUUGUAGCUCAUUAUUAUAGUAUGUGUUAUUAAUAUGAUGUAGCAGGCAACAUAGUAUCCUGCGAUUCCUAAUUAGUUGAUGCCUAAGGGUUUUUGUAGCUUAUGCAACUAAGAAAACUUCUUCAGGCUAGAAAAAAACUUUGAAGUGUGGGACAUGGUGCUUAGAAAGUGUGGCAAGCAUCGAAUUUACAUUGAUGUAGUCCAUGGUGUAGGAUUUUUAGAUGGCA